AUUUUGUCCCCAGUCGUAACGGAAACAAAUACUAAAAUAUUGUAAAUUCCUGUGGGAUGAAAUUCCUGUGAAGUUCGUUUUUGCACUUAGUGAAAGAGCGUGGGACGCCAGGAAACAUUCAGAUUUCAAGCCUUGCACAGGGGCAGAAUUCACAUUCAAUGAGGUCUGAGGGAAGGCUGCCUUUGGCCAGCAAGGUGCUCGCCAGCCCUGGCACUCAUCUGUGGCUCUCUUCCUUCUCCUCCCUGAUGCCCAGCUCCAGUAACAUGGCUGGAGGGGGUAACCUUAUUGUGGAGCUUCCAUAUGUCACUCUUGAGUUUAGAAGUUUCCAGCACCUCCUGAUUUGUCUCUUGGAACUCAGUAGCUGUGAAAACCAGCAGGUGAUGAACUCAGUUACCCCACUUCUCUGAAAGAAGGUCAGAAUUAUUACUGUUUAUUUUUCUUGGGUUUUUUCUACUAAUUUUUUUUUUUAAUUAUUAACAUGCUAAUAAUUAAAUGCUUAAAAAUUUAGAUAAGCCACUGUGUUAUAACUCUUAAUCCUUUUCUCUGCUUUGCCUUCCUCUUCCAGCCUCUCAAGGCUUGACUUGCAGUUUGAGAAACUACUGCACAGCAUUUGAGACAGUAGGCAGUAUCCUUAAGUUGCCUUUUUUAAGAGUGAAACUUUUGUUUAUGAUCAGUUUGUGGUUUGAAAAGGAACUGUACAUCUCUUCACAGCUCAUAGAGCAGCAUAUCAACAUCAGUGAGUUGAAGUUUACCAAGCCUUAGGAGAUCAGUGAGUCUUAGAUGUGCUUCAAGCCUUGCCAUCUCACUGAAAUGUUGAUGUUUCUGCAUUGGAAAGAGCCAGGAAAAGCUCAGUUUCAUGUUUUCCUUUUCUUUGAUCUUGAUCUAAUACUUAUCCGGGUUUCAGAGAUUUGGAAACAGGGCUGCAUCAGAGGACAAAUCUUGGGCAGAAACUGAGCUGAGUUUUGCUUUCCCUUUCCUUAUGCUUUAAACCCAAGCUUGGACCUUACUGAAGGUUAAGAAACAAUUUUCAAAUUGUUAACUGAGGAGUGUUGAUUAAUGUUUAAUUUCACAGAGGAACUGGAAGCAAGGUUGUUUCCAUGCACAAGUUAACAAGGAGGUGAAGGUGAAAGGAAACUUCGCACCAUCCAUCUUGGAUCCUAAAAGUCUUAAAUUCUGAGGAAAGCAGAGGAAUUUUGCAGCAUCACAGGCAACAUUAGGAUUUCUAUUUUAUACCUCAUAACCUGGAAUUUCUUUCCAGGAGUAAUGGCGUACCCAAAGCAUGGCAGUAGAAAUCAUUGUCAGGUAAUCCAGCUUUGGAGAAGAACAGUGAGAACAGCAUCAGAAGCUUUGAACAACGAAACACUCAUAUCAAGGAAUGCCAGUGGAAACACGCUCCUUCUGCAGGUCUGUUCACUGCUAUUUAUUCAGCAUAGGCUGUGAAAAACAAUAGAAAGGUAAAUGACAUUAAACUUUGAUAAUGACACAGCACAGAAAGGAUGUACAGACUUGAAUUCCUCCAUAGCCACAUGAAGCAGGAGUAAUUAGAACUGGCUGGACAAUUGCCAGCAGCGUGUUCUCAUUGAGAAAUAAAAUCCUGUUACAAUGUAAGUACUUAACUAGG
RNAcentral lists this long non-coding RNA (1621 nucleotides) under Parus major (Great Tit). RNAcentral describes it as "lncRNA (ENSPMJG00000016759.1)". Lineage: Eukaryota; Metazoa; Chordata; Aves; Passeriformes; Paridae. The record is from RNAcentral.